CUCCUAGAUUCUUCAUCAUCAAAGACAGUUUCCUGCUCUACUAUGCGGAGAAUGAGAAGAGAAGCUUUGAGACCAACAAACACUUUAACAUCCACCCCAAGGGUGUGAUCCCUUUAGGAGGCUGUGUUGUGGAUCCGAAGGAAGACCAGGGCAUGCCAUUCGCCAUGGUUAUAAAUCAUGAUGACUUCACUGGUAACAUUGUCCUGGCUGCAGAGAAUGAGGCAGAACAAAACCAGUGGCUGGAGAUGCUGCAGGAGUCUGGCAGAGUCACCUGGAAGAACGCCCAACUGGGAGAAGCCAUGAUAGAGAG
Oncorhynchus gorbuscha (pink salmon) is the source of this 310-nucleotide long non-coding RNA. RefSeq lists it as uncharacterized. The record is from RefSeq and is a predicted model, not a curated record. Lineage: Eukaryota; Metazoa; Chordata; Actinopteri; Salmoniformes; Salmonidae. The transcript has 4 exons.